CCUCCCAUGUUGCACAAGGGGUAUGUGGCAAUUUGGGGUCAGGACUUUCCUGCCUCUUCGCGGUUUGCGUGGAGCAGACAGCCCAUUGUGACAGUCAGAUGAUGAUUGCUAAUGUGGCUUACAAGAAUUGCUGCAGCUUCCCAUCUGCCGAAGCUGGACAUCACUUGCUGAAGUGACCAGUGGAUCCCGCCCCGUGGCUGAAAGCAGAUCCCAGAGAUCCCGAUACAGAGGUGAUGAUGCUUUGCAUACAGAUGGUAGGAGAAGAGAAUGAAUCUCCUGUGGGAUCUGGGGUAGCUGUGCAUUGGAAGCAGGACCUCAACAAGUUUUUAGGCUCCCAUCGCCGUCCUAAGACCAUGCUAGCAGCAUCUGGGAGGAAAAGCAGACACGUAUGUGCUGGGCUCCUACUCUGGGAAGCAAGAAGGUGGCUACAAUCCAGCCUAACAUGCUGAAGGUCAGAGUCUUAACUUCUUACCCACUUUACCAUGCUUUCCUGGUGAGAUAACAGCAGGUCCCCGUGCAUUUAAGUAAAGAAAUGCCAUUCAUAUGCA
This is a long non-coding RNA of Aquila chrysaetos chrysaetos, 548 nucleotides long. RefSeq lists it as uncharacterized. The record is from RefSeq and is a predicted model, not a curated record. NCBI's taxonomy places the organism in Eukaryota, Metazoa, Chordata, Aves, Accipitriformes, Accipitridae. The transcript is spliced from 2 exons.